AACAACUCAAGGUAAAAAAAAAACCUUAAGGAAGUCUUAUACAAGAAAGAUAAAAAGAAGUAGAUAAGAGGAGAAAGGAGAACUUGCCGGGUAAGAGAGGAGACGGUCACGCAUCAUACGGUCGAGAGAGGCAAGGAUGACUGAUGAAGGUGAGGAGACAGCUGUGAACACACGAGCAUUACGCUCUUUCCACAGCAGGUAGAUGGCUGACUGAAAGUAGAGCUUCAUGACUAGAGUAGCAUGCGCAUCUGCAUUGACGCGAGGUUGAUUGAUCCAGCUUGCAACAGAGUGUAGAUCAGCCGGAGGAGAAAUCCAAACUUCAGGAGCAAAAAGCUCCCAUAUCAAGCGAGAGAAAGAGCACUCAAAGAAGAGAUGAUGGUGAGUCUCUAUUUCAAGAUUACAAAGGACGCACGUUCCAGAGACAUUUAACUCCC
Molecule: long non-coding RNA, 434 nt
Filed under: Brassica rapa (field mustard)
Lineage: Eukaryota; Viridiplantae; Streptophyta; Magnoliopsida; Brassicales; Brassicaceae
Description: long non-coding RNA (BRAP_LNC007423)
Source: RNAcentral